This 75-nucleotide transfer RNA is filed under the name uncultured archaeon. RNAcentral describes it as "tRNA-Gln(ttg)". It matches the Rfam family "tRNA". From Rfam's summary of the family: Transfer RNA (tRNA) molecules are approximately 80 nucleotides in length. Their secondary structure includes four short double-helical elements and three loops (D, anti-codon, and T loops). The record is from RNAcentral.
UGCGGGGUCGGCUAAUUGGUAGGCCACGGGGCUUUGAACCCCGGUAUGGAGGUUCGAACCCUCCCCCCGCAACCA